GAUGAAGAACGUAGCGAAAUGCGAUAAGUAAUGUGAAUUGCAGAAUUCAGUGAAUCAUCGAAUCUUUGAACGCACAUUGCGCCCCCUGGUAUUCCGGGGGGCAUGCCUGUUCGAGCGUCAUUACAACCCUCAAGCUCUGCUUGGUAUUGGGCCCCGCCAGUUCUGGCGGGCCCUAAAGUCAGUGGCGGUGCCUCCGGCUCCGAGCGUAGUAAUUCUUCUCGCUCUGGAGACCCGGUUGUGUGCUUGCCAACAACCCCCAAUUUUUUAAGGUUGACCUCGGAUCAGGUAGGGAUACCAGCUGAACUUAAGCAUAUCAAUAAGCGGAGGA
This 328-nucleotide unclassified non-coding RNA is filed under the name soil metagenome. RNAcentral's name for it is "partial contains 5.8S ribosomal RNA, internal transcribed spacer 2, and large subunit ribosomal RNA". The stretch from base 1 to 120 matches the Rfam family "5.8S ribosomal RNA", at positions 35 to 154 of the family's 154-position model. The record is from RNAcentral.